UGAGUUUAAAUAACAGUUUCUGCAGAGAAAGAGGAAGAAAUCACCAUAUGGCUUCUACACAAGGCAAGAAAGCAUAAUAAGUUAUCCUAUUUUGGGAUGAGUUUCCAGCAAGCUGAUAGGAUGCUAUGAUCAAGAAACAAGCUAGGUUGCUGCUAGAAACACACGCCUAGAUAAUCUAGAAUCUUUUGAACGUUAUUUGAAAUGGUUGUAUUUGAUAUUCUAUGGUUGUGAUGUUUGAUAUUUGGACGAUGUUUGAAUCAAUUUAAAUUAUAACGAAAUAUCUAGUGUUAU
This 291-nucleotide long non-coding RNA is filed under the name Helianthus annuus (common sunflower). RNAcentral's name for it is "sRNA HanXRQr2_Chr13g0573001". The record is from RNAcentral. Lineage: Eukaryota; Viridiplantae; Streptophyta; Magnoliopsida; Asterales; Asteraceae.